CGGUGGAGCAUGUGGUUUAAUUCGAAGCAACGACGAAGAACCUUACCAGGCCUUGACAUGCAGAGAACUUUCCAGAGAUGGAUUGGUGCCUUCGGGAACUCUGACACAGGUGCUGCAUGGCUGUCGUCAGCUCGUGUCGUGAGAUGUUGGGUUAAGUCCCGUAACGAGCGCAACCCUUGUCCUUAGUUACCAGCACGUUAUGGUGGGCACUCUAAGGAGACUGCCGGUGACAAGCCGGAGGAAGGUGGGGGAUGACGUCAAGUCAUCAUGGCCCUUACGGCCUGGGCUACACACGUGCUACAAUGGUCGGUACAAAGGGUUGCCAAGCCGCGAGGUGGAGCUAAUCCCAUAAAACCGAUCGUAGUCCGGAUCGCAGUCUGCAACUCGACUGCGUGAAGUCGGAAUCGCUAGUAAUCGUGAAUCAGAAUGUCACGGUGAAUACGUUCCCGGGCCUU
RNAcentral lists this ribosomal RNA (455 nucleotides) under uncultured Pseudomonas sp. Its description in RNAcentral is "bacterial SSU rRNA". It matches the Rfam family "Bacterial small subunit ribosomal RNA", at positions 930 to 1382 of the family's 1533-position model. Lineage: Bacteria; Pseudomonadati; Pseudomonadota; Gammaproteobacteria; Pseudomonadales; Pseudomonadaceae. The record is from RNAcentral.